CGUCUGCGAUGACAUCACUCCGCCGCAACAUCAGUGGCGAUCUAUGCUCCUUUUCGACGUGCAUCGAAAGCGAUAACCGUACAAUCAGUCGGAUCCCUUAUCGUGUGUGUGUAGAAUUGUCCGUUUUUGGAGGAUUUUUUUAUUCCUUGAGCCAACACUGGUGAUUGCAAAUGAAUUUUGAGCAGCCACCUCCAUACCCUGGGCCAGGCCCCACUGCGCCCGGGUAUCCUCCUCAGGGAUACCCUCCUCAGGGAUACCCUCCUCAGGGAUACCCUCCACAGGGAUACCCUGUCAAUAUGGAUCAGCCCAACCCAGGCUUCCCUCCUCACAACCCAGCGUACCCUAACUACCCUGCCGGACCUGGUGGACCUGGUGGGCCUUACCCAGGGCCUGAUCAAGCAGCCUUUCAAGGAUAUCCGCAACAACCUCAUGGAUGGCAAAAUGCUCCCCAAGCUGGUCCAAUGUAUGGGGAAGGGCCUAAAAACACAGUGUAUGUGGUGGAGGACAGAAGGCGUGAGGACUCAGGGGACACUUGUCUGACUGCAUGCUGGACUGCGCUGUGCUGCUGUUGUCUAUGGGAUAUGCUAACAUAAAGCUAACAUAAAGCUUUGAGUACUCAGACUGUACUAUGCCCUCCUGCACUGCACUCCCCAACAUGAGGUUCCACCAUGAUUGACCUGAGGUGCCCAAAACCCUCCUUCUUCUCCUGUCAUAGCUUCUUAUUCCCCAGACGUCUGAUGUCCAUGUCUUAUAGAUACAGCCAACCCACAUUCUUUCUAAAUACACACCUGUCUGUGGUUUUGCUGACUAUAAAAGCAAUAUAAAUCUUAUCUGGAUAUAACUUCAAAUUAUUAUUGAAAGCAGCAUUCUCAAAAUAUCUGGUGUGUGUGAAACUGAUUUUUUUUUUAGAUCUCAGGCAACCAUGUUGUAAGACAUGAAUUUAAAUCUUAAAUUUACCAUGAGCUUUGAUAUAGACUGCAGAUUUUAUGAUGGCAAAUAAAUGUACUGUAUCAUUUCUGCAUCUGAUCCAUGGAUAACAUGUUCUGACUUGACCAGUGCUUGACCAGUGAGUGACGAGAUGAUUAGAUCUGAUCCUCCAAUUCUAUCAGCAUGAUGCAGCAUCCAUACCUCACCAUCCACUCUCUACCUCUUACUCUGCCUUAUUUUCAUCUUCACCUCGGAGUUUUGAAGGCAUCCAUCCCAAUGCGCCCACAUACCCAUUCCUGUUUCCACAAACCCCCUAAUGCUUUACCUUUAGUCCUACACACAUCAUACUUCAGACAGUAGAGCUGAGAGGCUGUCAGGCAGACAGCAGACAGCAGACAGCUGCUGAGGCCAACAUGUAUCUGGGCAACACCAUUUCAUCUCAUUCCCAGUCUACCAUGACAACCUUUCAGUCCAUUAUUUGAAUGAAUACUCUGUCAGUUUAAGCACACAUUUGCACGAUAAAUUAUUGUGUUACCAUGAAAGGCCGCUAUCUCCCCAGUCAACCGUAUUAAAUAACUGCAUAAGGUGAUGUAACCCCCACCUUCCUGGACCACAGUAGAGAAAAUGAGUGAAAUUUGGCAAUUAGGUAUGAAAUUAUUACAUUAUUCUGUACAGAGCACCUUGUCAUUGUAAAGCUUUUCACCAAAGCCCAUAAACAGUAGAAGUCUGCAUGAUUACCAUAGCUACAAUAUUAACAAUGAGAGGCUUUGAUAGUUCAUCAUUCCCAAUGAGGCAGAGCGACUGGAAAGCAGAAAGAGAAAUUGUGAAACACAUUAUUCAGGGGUUGCACAUUUUGACGCUUAAAUAUUUUAAAAACAUUUUUGCUUAAAAUCUUUAGGCGAUGCUGUAUACUGUUAAAUUACUUAUUUUGUCUUGAAUUUCUAUUUGAAAUUAUUUGCAUUUUGAUAAUUAGAAAUAUAUGUGGUCUUGUUGUUCUCUAAUGACUACUUGCAUUAUUGUUGUUUUUAAAUAGCAAAAGAUUAAGUACACAUUCAAUAUUGCCUUGGCUUAAAAGAAAAUAAAUUAUUCAAAAAUUA
Clupea harengus (Atlantic herring) is the source of this 2024-nucleotide long non-coding RNA. RefSeq lists it as uncharacterized. The record is from RefSeq and is a predicted model, not a curated record. The transcript is spliced from 3 exons. Lineage: Eukaryota; Metazoa; Chordata; Actinopteri; Clupeiformes; Clupeidae.